RNAcentral lists this ribosomal RNA (468 nucleotides) under uncultured bacterium. RNAcentral describes it as "partial 16S ribosomal RNA". It matches the Rfam family "Bacterial small subunit ribosomal RNA", at positions 28 to 507 of the family's 1533-position model. The record is from RNAcentral.
GACGAACGCUGGCGGCGUGCUUAACACAUGCAAGUCGAACGGAAAGGCCCUGCUUUUGUGGGGUGCUCGAGUGGCGAAGGGGUGAGUAACACUUGUGUAACCUGCCCUUGACGUUGGCAUAACUUCAGGAAACUGGGGCUAAUACCGGAUAGGAGCUCCUGCUGCAGGGUGGGGGUGGGAAAGUUUCGGCGGUUGGGGAGGGACUGGCGGCUUAUCAGCUUGUUGGAGGGGUGGUGUGAUACCAAGCCUAUGACGGGUAGCCGACCUGGGGGGGUGAGAGGCCCAGUUGGGCUGGGGCUGCGGCCCAGCCCACUCCGGGAGGCAGCGCAGGGGAGUGUUGUCCUAUGCGCGGAAGGCUAACGUAACAACGCCGCGUGGCGGAUGACGGCCAUCGGUUUGUAAACCGCUUUCGUCUGAGCCGAGACGUGAAUGACGGUACUGGGUAAAGAAGCACCGGCUAACUACGUG